GUCAGCAGCCACACUACCUGCAGUUCACACUAGGUAAUCCAUCUGAAACUAAGCAGUACUUGGAUGGGAGACUAACUAGAAAAUCUGGGUUGCUGGUGGCA
This 101-nucleotide ribosomal RNA is filed under the name Paramormyrops kingsleyae. Lineage: Eukaryota; Metazoa; Chordata; Actinopteri; Osteoglossiformes; Mormyridae. The record is from RNAcentral.